AACGAACGCUGGCGGCAGGCCUAACACAUGCAAGUCGAGCGAGGACUUCGGUUCUAGCGGCGGACGGGUGAGUAACACGUGGAUAACCUACCUAUAAGACUGGGAUAACUUCGGGAAACCGGAGCUAAUACCGGAUAACAUGUUGAACCGCAUGGUUCAACAGUGAAAGACGGUUUUGCUGUCACUUAUAGAUGGAUCCGCGCCGCAUUAGCUAGUUGGUAAGGUAACGGCUUACCAAGGCAACGAUGCGUAGCCGACCUGAGAGGGUGAUCGGCCACACUGGAACUGAGACACGGUCCAGACUCCUACGGGAGGCAGCAGUAGGGAAUCUUCCGCAAUGGGCGAAAGCCUGACGGAGCAACGCCGCGUGAGUGAAGAAGGUCUUCGGAUCGUAAAACUCUGUUAUUAGGGAAGAACAAAUGUGUAAGUAACUAUGCACGUCUUGACGGUACCUAAUCAGAAAGCCACGGCUAACUACGU
This 480-nucleotide ribosomal RNA is filed under the name uncultured bacterium. RNAcentral's name for it is "partial 16S ribosomal RNA". It matches the Rfam family "Bacterial small subunit ribosomal RNA", at positions 29 to 506 of the family's 1533-position model. The record is from RNAcentral.